Molecule: ribosomal RNA, 468 nt
Filed under: uncultured bacterium
Lineage: Bacteria
Description: partial 16S ribosomal RNA
Rfam family: Bacterial small subunit ribosomal RNA
Source: RNAcentral
GACGAACGCUGGCGGCGUGCUUAACACAUGCAAGUCGAACGGAAAGGCCCUGCUUUUGUGGGGUGCUCGAGUGGCGAACGGGUGAGUAACACGUGAGUAACCUGCCCUUGACUUUGGGAUAACUUCAGGAAACUGGGGCUAAUACCGGAUAGGAGCUCCUGCUGCAUGGUGGGGGUUGGAAAGUUUCGGCGGUUGGGGAUGGACUCGCGGCUUAUCAGCUUGUUGGUGGGGUAGUGGCUUACCAAGGCUUUGACGGGUAGCCGGCCUGAGAGGGUGACCGGCCACAUUGGGACUGAGAGACGGACCAGACUCCUACGGGAGGCAGCAGUGGGGAAUAUUGCACAAUGGGGGGAAGCCUGAUGCAGCAACGCCGCGUGCGGGAUGACGGCUUUCGGGUUGUAAACCGCUUUCGCCUGUGACGAAGAGUGAGUGACGGUAAUGGGUAAAGAAGCACCGGCUAACUACGUG